This 109-nucleotide ribosomal RNA is filed under the name Sinocyclocheilus anshuiensis. Lineage: Eukaryota; Metazoa; Chordata; Actinopteri; Cypriniformes; Cyprinidae. The record is from RNAcentral.
GCUUACGGCCAUACAACCCUGUCUGCGCCUGAUCUAGGAAGCUAAGCAGGGUCGGUCCUGGUUAGUACUUGGAUGGGUGACUGCCUGGGAAUACCAGGUGCUGUAAGCU